Molecule: long non-coding RNA, 907 nt
Filed under: Gallus gallus (chicken)
Lineage: Eukaryota; Metazoa; Chordata; Aves; Galliformes; Phasianidae
Description: lncRNA (ENSGALG00010018447.1)
Source: RNAcentral
CUGAAGCCUUGAAUUUGUGCUUUGGGCCUGCAAGGGUGAGAAAGGUUGUGGGAUCCCUUUGCUUCUUGGUGAGCGAUGCGCCUCUGUAGGAGCAGGGGAAGCUGAAUGUAUGAAGUACAAGUGUGCAAAGCUGCUUAAAAAUUCAUGAGUGAGAGGGCAGCUGGAGCAGAGUGCCUUGGGGUGAGAAUAUGACUACAGUUUGAGCUAGGACUGGAGUUGUGUGCAGUUCUGCUGAUGUGAUGCUCCAGCAGGACCCUCUCUGACUUGCGAAGCAUCUUCCCUGAGGCAGCCUGAAGUUGGAAGAGGUCUGAAGUUAUUAGCUACCUGAGAUCUUCAGUAAGACACAGCUUGUGGGGAAAGCCACGGAUUCAAAAGGAGGCCCGAAAUGGUCCAAAUCAUAGAAUGAUUAAGAUUGGAAAGACCAUUAAGGGACCUCCAGGUGAAUCCACCACCUUCCUGAGCAGACUGUGCCACUGCACUGCCACUCUUACUGAGAAGACAGUUUUCCUAAUGUCCAACCUGAACCUCCACUGGCACAACUUGAGGCCAUUACCGCUUGUCUUAUCAAAUGCCCACAUUCAGUGCAUUACGCACCUUGAUGCAGGUCCACUGCCAGGGGAAUUACCUCUGUGCACACUUGAUCACAGAGGAAAAUUGGAUUGAAGAUUUGUGAGCACGGCUGCAUGGACACAGUUAGGGUUAUUUUAAGCUUUUGUGGUAUAAACUGAGUAUCUGCAUUAUCUACUGUUUUUGUACAUCAGAGAUUCCUGCCCUUUGGUGUAUAUUGUAUCCACCGCAUCUUGCUUUGAGUUGGCAGUAAUCCAUUACUCAGAGGGAAAUGGUAUCACCCUAGGAAAAACAAACAAACAAAAAGACAAAAAACAAAUGCACAAAGGGAAGCCCUAUC